GUGGGGAAUAUUCCGCAAUGGACGAAAGUCUGACGGAGCAACGCCGCGUGAGUGAUGAAGGUUUUCGGACUGUAAAGCUCUGUUGUUUAGGACGAAAGUGCCUGUUGCAAAUAGUUACAGGUAUUGACGGUACUGAACGAGGAAGCCACGGCUAACUACGUGCCAGCAGCCGCGGUAAUACGUAGGUGGCAAGCGUUGUCCGGAAUUAUUGGGCGUAAAGAGCAUGUAGGCGGGAAUCUAAGUCUGUUGUGAAAAUGCGGGGCACAACCCCGUAUGGCGAUGGAAACUGGGUUUCUUGAGUGCAGGAGAGGAAAGGGGAAUUCCCAGUGUAGCGGUGAAAUGCGUAGAUAUUGGGAGGAACACCAGUGGCGAAGGCGCCUUUCUGGACUGUGUCUGACGCUGAGAUGCGAAAGCCAGGGUAGCGAACGGGAUUAGAUACCCGUGUAGUCC
RNAcentral lists this ribosomal RNA (450 nucleotides) under uncultured bacterium. Its description in RNAcentral is "partial 16S ribosomal RNA". It matches the Rfam family "Bacterial small subunit ribosomal RNA", at positions 354 to 796 of the family's 1533-position model. The record is from RNAcentral.